Long non-coding RNA from Gadus morhua (Atlantic cod), 395 nucleotides. RefSeq lists it as uncharacterized. The transcript is spliced from 2 exons. The record is from RefSeq and is a predicted model, not a curated record. Lineage: Eukaryota; Metazoa; Chordata; Actinopteri; Gadiformes; Gadidae. The annotation marks the transcript as partial.
AGUUCUGAGGUGUACAACAGGACAUCUUCCUCCAGUUCAGCUUCAACACAAACCAUGUUCUCUGUAGCUGUACUGCUGCUGCUCCUGGCUGCUUGCUCUGGUGUGAACUGUGAACAGCUUACUCAGCCAGAGUCUCUGACUGUCCGACCUGGUCAACCUCUGACCAUCCGCUGUCAGGUCUCUUAUUCUGUUAGUAGCUACAUCACACAUUUGAUCAGACAACCUGAUGGAAGAGGAUUGGAAUGGAUUGGAGGGAUUAGGACUAAUUGGAAAGGAGCGAAAGACUCCCUAAGUAGUCAAUUCAGUCUUGCCGUUGACGGCUCCGGUAACACAGUAACUUUGCAAGGGCAAAACAUCCAGCCUGGAGACUCAGCUGUGUAUUACUGUGCCAGAGA